GACGAACGCUGGCGGCGUGCUUAACACAUGCAAGUCGAACGAUGAAGCGCUGUCUUUUUGGCGGUGUGGAUUAGUGGCGAACGGGUGAGUAAUACGCGGGCAACCUGCCCCUCUGCUUCGGGAUAAGCUUUGGAAACGGGGUCUAAUACCGGAUGUGCCUGUCUGGUCGCAUGGCUGGGCGGGGAAAGAUGUUUUUCGGCGGGGGAUGGGCUCGCGGCCUAUCAGCUUGUUGGUGGGGUGACGGCCUACCAAGGCGUCGACGGGUAGCCGGCCUGAGAGGGUGGUCGGCCACACUGGGACUGAGAUACGGCCCAGACUCCUACGGGAGGCAGCAGUGGGGGAUAUUGCACAAUGGGCGCAAGCCUGAUGCAGCGACGCCGCGUGGGGGAUGGAGGCUUUCGGGUUGUAAACCCCUUUCGGCGCGGGACAAGGCUCCGUUUGGCGGGGU
This 448-nucleotide ribosomal RNA is filed under the name Actinomyces sp. oral taxon 446. Its description in RNAcentral is "bacterial SSU rRNA". It matches the Rfam family "Bacterial small subunit ribosomal RNA", at positions 28 to 467 of the family's 1533-position model. Lineage: Bacteria; Bacillati; Actinomycetota; Actinomycetes; Actinomycetales; Actinomycetaceae. The record is from RNAcentral.